RNAcentral lists this ribosomal RNA (440 nucleotides) under Salmonella enterica subsp. enterica serovar Anatum. Its description in RNAcentral is "bacterial SSU rRNA". It matches the Rfam family "Bacterial small subunit ribosomal RNA", at positions 338 to 795 of the family's 1533-position model. Lineage: Bacteria; Pseudomonadati; Pseudomonadota; Gammaproteobacteria; Enterobacterales; Enterobacteriaceae. The record is from RNAcentral.
CCUACGGGGGGCUGCAGUGGGGAAUAUUGCACAAUGGGCGAAAGCCUGAUGCAGCAACGCCGCGUGAGUGAAGAAGGCCUUCGGGUUGUAAAGCUCUGUCUUUAGGGACGAUAAUGACGGUACCUAAGGAGGAAGCCCCGGCUAACUACGUGCCAGCAGCCGCGGUAAUACGUAGGUGGCAAGCGUUGUCCGGAUUUACUGGGCGUAAAGGAUGCGUAGGCGGAUUUUUAAGUGAGAUGUGAAAUACCCGGGCUUAACUUGGGUGCUGCAUUUCAAACUGGAUAUCUAGAGUGCAGGAGAGGAAAGUGGAAUUCCUAGUGUAGCGGUGAAAUGCGUAGAUAUUAGGAGGAACACCAGUGGCGAAGGCGACUUACUGGACUGUAACUGACGCUGAGGCACGAAAGCGUGGGGAGCAAACAGGAUUAGAUACCCUUGUAGUC